AGUGAACGCUGGCGGCGUGCUUAACACAUGCAAGUCGAACGAGAACGGUCCUUCGGGAUGUCAGCUAAGUGGCGGACGGGUGAGUAAUGUAUAGUUAAUUUGCCUCUUGGAGGGGGAUAACAGUUGGAAACGACUGCUAAUACCCCAUACUCCUUUCUACUUAAUGUAGAUUGGGAAAUGUUUUUUCGCCAAGAGAUAAGACUAUAUGGUAUCAGGUAGUUGGUAGGGUAAGAGCCUACCAAGCCUAUGACGCCUAGCUGGUCUGAGAGGAUGAUCAGCCACACUGGAACUGAGACACGGUCCAGACUCCUACGGGAGGCAGCAGUGGGGAAUAUUGCACAAUGGAGGAAACUCUGAUGCAGCAACGCCGCGUGGAGGAUGACACAUUUCGGUGCGUAAACUCCUUUUAUAUGGGAAGAUAAUGACGGUACCAUAUGAAUAAGCACCGCUAACU
This 454-nucleotide ribosomal RNA is filed under the name uncultured bacterium. Its description in RNAcentral is "bacterial SSU rRNA". It matches the Rfam family "Bacterial small subunit ribosomal RNA", at positions 29 to 502 of the family's 1533-position model. The record is from RNAcentral.